UACGUAGGGUGCAAGCGUUAAUCGGAAUUACUGGGCGUAAAGCGUGCGCAGGCGGUUCUAUAAGGCAGAUGUGAAAUCCCCGGGCUCAACCUGGGAACUGCAUUUGUGACUGUAGAGCUGGAGUACGGUAGAGGGGGAUGGAAUUCCGCGUGUAGCAGUGAAAUGCGUAGAUAUGCGGAGGAACACCGAUGGCGAAGGCAAUCCUCUGGACCUGUACUGACGCUCAUGCACGAAAGCGUGGGGAGCAAACAGG
Molecule: ribosomal RNA, 253 nt
Filed under: uncultured bacterium
Lineage: Bacteria
Description: partial 16S ribosomal RNA
Rfam family: Bacterial small subunit ribosomal RNA
Source: RNAcentral